Molecule: ribosomal RNA, 301 nt
Filed under: uncultured bacterium
Lineage: Bacteria
Description: partial 16S ribosomal RNA
Rfam family: Bacterial small subunit ribosomal RNA
Source: RNAcentral
CAGUCGCCGCGGUAAUACGUAGGUGGCAAGCGUUAUCCGGAAUUAUUGGGCGUAAAGGGCUCGCAGGCGGUUUCUUAAGUCUGAUGUGAAAGCCCCCGGCUCAACCGGGGAGGGUCAUUGGAAACUGGGAAACUUGAGUGCAGAAGAGGAGAGUGGAAUUCCACGUGUAGCGGUGAAAUGCGUAGAGAUGUGGAGGAACACCAGUGGCGAAGGCGACUCUCUGGUCUGUAACUGACGCUGAGGAGCGAAAGCGUGGGGAGCGAACAGGAUUAGAUACCCCCGUAGUCCCUGUCUCUUAUAU